AAGUCGUAACAAGGUUUCCGUAGGUGAACCUGCGGAAGGAUCAUCAGCGAGGGUUGUGAAUCCACGAGCGUGUGAACCGAGUAUGAGUGGGCAAAGGGGUGGUGUGGUCAUCCGACGCAAGUCGGCGCAGAGUUCUGGGGCGCAGAGUUCUGGGGCGCAGAGUUCUGGGGCGCAGAGUUCUGGGGCGCAGAGUUCUGGGGCGCAGCGUCCUGGGGCGCCUGCCGCCUGCACCGCCCGCCCGCAUUCUAUUUCCGAGCAUUGGUCACGAAUAAAAGAGUACAGAGUCUUAACUACAUAUAGUUAACACAACUUUCAACAAUGGAUCUCUUGGCUCUC
This 336-nucleotide unclassified non-coding RNA is filed under the name fungal sp. Its description in RNAcentral is "partial internal transcribed spacer region". The stretch from base 1 to 46 matches the Rfam family "Eukaryotic small subunit ribosomal RNA", at positions 1786 to 1831 of the family's 1831-position model. Lineage: Eukaryota; Fungi. The record is from RNAcentral.